Molecule: long non-coding RNA, 433 nt
Filed under: Zonotrichia albicollis (white-throated sparrow)
Lineage: Eukaryota; Metazoa; Chordata; Aves; Passeriformes; Passerellidae
Description: lncRNA (ENSZALG00000000578.1)
Source: RNAcentral
CUAUUCUUCCCCUGUUGUCUGCAGUCCCUGUGAACUGUCUGUGGACAUACCAUCCAUAGCAUCUCCCAAGCAGGUGCUUGGUGAUACAAAGAUGCGAUUGUGCCUGUUUUAAAGUCUGGGCCCAUGUGGAGGACAGAUUCAAGGGGAACAGAGGAAGAACAUGAGAUGCAGCCCAACGAGAAAUCUGCCAUGUGGUGUGGGAUCUCCUGUUUUUUCUGCAGUACACACAUGUAUUACAGUAUUACUGCGACCUGAGGAGGUCUUCAGGACAGAUUUACUCCCUGUCAGAAGGCAACCUGAACAUCUGGGAUUGACAACAGGCAAGAUUUGGAUGAAGACCUUCCUUUGCUCCUAUGGGAAAUAUGGUGGCUCAUGGCAUACCUUCCCAUCACAGGGAGGAAACAUGACGUUUUUAAUGUUAUUAUUCCUCUGA